GUCUUCUUAUUUGGGAUUUUACACAUACGUAGCUGUGCUGCAUUUGAUAUUUUUCUCGUGCAGGGACCGUCAUUCGUCAUCCUGCUGGUCAACUCUCUUUUUGGCAACUCGCAAAAAAAGUUGUAGCCGGCAAACAAAAGCAGGAAGAACAACAGCUCUGUCGCAGCCAUGAACGAAAAAUGUAUUAAACAAAUAAAAGUUAAAAGCAUUUGAUGGACCACACACGAAAGAAUCACUGAAGGUUUUGGGGAUUAGAGAAGUUGAAAUUCCCUAAUUUCAGUAAUACGAAGUCCACGGUAUUUAUACGUUAAAUAUCGAACUAUAAUAGAAAAUUGU
Molecule: non-coding RNA, 336 nt
Organism: Drosophila melanogaster (fruit fly)
Lineage: Eukaryota; Metazoa; Arthropoda; Insecta; Diptera; Drosophilidae
Source: Ensembl